RNA transcript from Otolemur garnettii (small-eared galago), 1676 nucleotides. It is a transcript of the gene named heterogeneous nuclear ribonucleoprotein F-like, with no coding region annotated. NCBI's taxonomy places the organism in Eukaryota, Metazoa, Chordata, Mammalia, Primates, Galagidae. The record is from RefSeq and is a predicted model, not a curated record. The transcript has a single exon.
GCUGGUUUUCCAGCCUCGCAGAAAGUGUUUGCCCCCUGGCCACUUGAAUUUCUGUUUCAGGUUAAGAACAAAAAGAUGCACCUGGACUUUCCUCGGAGCUCUCUGCAUUGUUAAGCUUCAGGUGGAAUUUGAGGGCUUUGAGCUGUAAGCCUUGCUACUUAAUAGAAAUCUGUCCUGCUCAACUCCAUGGACAAUUUGUUACCUACGGGAAGUGUCUCCCACUGAAGGCAUCCAAAGUUCUUUAAGCCUCCAAAAAAAAAAAAAAAAAAAUCAGUGCCCUAACAAGUGUCCAUGAUGCUGGGCCCCGAGGGAGGUGAAGGUUUUGUGGUCAAGCUCUGUGGCCUACCCUGGUCCUGCUCUAUUGAGGACGUGCAGAACUUCCUUUCCAACUGCACAAUUCGUGAUGGGACCGCAGAUGUCUACUUCAUCUACACUAGAGAGGGCAGGCAGAGUGGUGAGGCUUUUGUUGAACAUGAGAAGAUGAUGUAAAAAUAGCCCUGAAAAAAGACAGGGAAAGCAUGAGACACCAGUACAUCGAGGUGUUCAAGUCCACAGAACCGAGAUGGAUUGGGUGUUGAAGCACAGCAGUCCCAAGAGUGCUGACAGCGCCAACGAUGGCUUCGUUGGGCUUUGAGGACUCCCAUUUGGAUGCACAAAGGAAGAAAUUGUCCAAUUCUUCUCAGGGUUGGAAAUCGUGCCAAAUGGGAUCACAUUACCUGUGGACCCCAAGGGCAAGAAAACAGGGGAAGCUUUUGUGCAGUCUGCCUCCCAGGAGUUAGCUGAGAAGGCUCUGGGGAAGCACAAGGAGGAUAGGGCACAGGUUCAAGAAGUGUUCAAGAGCAGUUAGGAGGAAGUUAGGUCAUACUCUGAUCCCCCUCUAAAGUUCAUGUCUGUGCAGUGGCAAAGGCCCUAUGACUGCCCUGGCACAGCUAGGAGAUAUAUCGGCAUCGUGAAGCAAGCCAGCCUGGAUAGGAUGCAGCCUGGCGCCUACAGUGCAGGCUACAGUGGCUAUGAAGAGUACAGCGGCCUCAGCGAUGGCUACGGCUUCACCACUGACCUAUUUGGGAGAGACCCCAGCUACAUACAUCUGGGAUGUAUGACCACAGAUAUGGAGAUGGUGAGUUUGCAGUGCAGAGCACCACUGGGCACUGCACCACAUGAGGGGGCUGCCAUACAAAGAGACUGAGAAUGACAUUUACAACUUCUUCUCUCCACUCAACCCUGUGAGAGUGCAUAUCGAGAUUGGCCCAGAUGGAAGAGUGACUCACAAAGCAGAUGUAGAGUUUGCCACUCACGAAGAGGCUGUAGUGGCAAUGUCCAAAGACAGGGCUAAUAUGCAGCACAGAUACAUAGAGCUCUUCUUGAAUUCAACAACAGGGGCCAGCAGUGGGGCAUACAGCAGCCAGGUGAUGCAAGGCAUGGGGGUGUCAGCAGCCCAGGCUACCUACAGUGGGCUGGAGAGCCAGUCUGUCAGCAGCUGCUACGGGGCUGGCUACAGCGGGCAGAACAGCAUGGGUGGGUAUGACUAGUUUUGUAGGAACAUUUAAGUUUUUUCAAUCAAAUUUUCACAGGCAGCCAACAAGCAAUGAAGAGCAGUUAUAACUCUAGAGGAAGCUGUGGGGACCCAUUUUGCACCAUGAGUUUGUGAAAUCUGGAUUAAAAAAAUUACCUCUUCA